CCUACGGGAGGCAGCAGUGGGGGAUAUUGCACAAUGGGGGAAACCCUGAUGCAGCGACGCCGCGUGGGUGAAGGAGUGAUUCGUUAUGUAAAGCUCUAUCAGCAGGGAAGAAAGUGACGGUAACUGAGUAAGAAGCCCCGGGUAACUACGGGCCAGCAGCCGCGGUAAUACGUAGGGGGCAAGGGUUAUCCGGAUUUACUGGGUGGAAAGGGGGCGGAGACGGCAGUGCAAGUCUGGAGUGAAAGGCGGGGGCUCAACCCCCGGACUGCUCUGGAAACUGUGCGGCUGGAGUGCAGGAGAGGUAAGUGGAAUUCCUGGUGUAGCGGUGAAAUGCGUAGAUAUUAGGAGGAACACCAGUGGCGAAGGCGGCUUACUGGACUGUAACUGACGUUGAGGCCCGAAAGCGUGGGGAGCAAACAGGAUUAGAUACCCGUGUAGUC
RNAcentral lists this ribosomal RNA (440 nucleotides) under uncultured bacterium. Its description in RNAcentral is "partial 16S ribosomal RNA". It matches the Rfam family "Bacterial small subunit ribosomal RNA", at positions 338 to 795 of the family's 1533-position model. The record is from RNAcentral.